GGGGGCCCGCACAAGCGGCGGAGCAUGCGGAUUAAUUCGAUGCAACGCGAAGAACCUUACCAAGGCUUGACAUGGACCGGACCGGGCUGGAAACAGUCCUUCCCCUUUGGGGCCGGUUCACAGGUGGUGCAUGGUUGUCGUCAGCUCGUGUCGUGAGAUGUUGGGUUAAGUCCCGCAACGAGCGCAACCCUCGUUCUAUGUUGCCAGCGCGUUAUGGCGGGGACUCAUAGGAGACUGCCGGGGUCAACUCGGAGGAAGGUGGGGACGACGUCAAGUCAUCAUGCCCCUUAUGUCCAGGGCUUCACACAUGCUACAAUGGCCAGUACAGAGGGCUGCGAGACCGUGAGGUGGAGCGAAUCCCUUAAAGCUGGUCUCAGUUCGGAUUGGGGUCUGCAACUCGACCCCAUGAAGUCGGAGUCGCUAGUAAUCGCAGAUCAGCAACGCUGCGGUGAAUACGUUCCCGGGCCUUGUACACACCGCCCGUCAAGUCACGAAAGUUGGUAACACCCGAAGCCGGUGGCCUAACCCCUUGUGGGAGGGAGCUGUCGAAGGUGGGACUGGCGAUUGGGACUAAG
This 575-nucleotide ribosomal RNA is filed under the name uncultured bacterium. RNAcentral's name for it is "bacterial SSU rRNA". It matches the Rfam family "Bacterial small subunit ribosomal RNA", at positions 915 to 1485 of the family's 1533-position model. The record is from RNAcentral.